UGGGAAUUUUGGACAAUGGGCGAAGCCUGAUCCAGCAAUGCCGCGUGUGUGAAGAAGGCCUUCGGGUUGUAAAGCACUUUUGUCCGGAAAGAAAUCCUUGGCUCUAAUACAGUCGGGGGAUGACGGUACCGGAAGAAUAAGCACCGGCUAACUACGUGCCAGCAGCCGCGGUAAUACGUAGGGUGCAAGCGUUAAUCGGAAUUACUGGGCGUAAAGCGUGCGCAGGCGGUUUGCUAAGACCGAUGUGAAAUCCCCGGGCUCAACCUGGGAACUGCAUUGGUGACUGGCAGGCUAGAGUAUGGCAGAGGGGGGUAGAAUUCCACGUGUAGCAGUGAAAUGCGUAGAGAUGUGGAGGAAUACCGAUGGCGAAGGCAGCCCCCUGGGCCAAUACUGACGCUCAUGCACGAAAGCGUGGGGAGCAAACAGGAUUNGAUACCCUGGUAGUCACGCCCUAAACGAUGUCAACUAGUUGUUGGGGAUUCAUUUCCUAGUAACGUAGCUAACGCGUGAAGUUGACCGCCUGGGGAGUACGUCGCAAGAUUAAAACUCAAAGGAAUUG
This 559-nucleotide ribosomal RNA is filed under the name uncultured bacterium. RNAcentral's name for it is "partial 16S ribosomal RNA". It matches the Rfam family "Bacterial small subunit ribosomal RNA", at positions 356 to 912 of the family's 1533-position model. The record is from RNAcentral.